UGAGGAAUAUUGGUCAAUGGGCGCGAGCCUGAACCAGCCAAGUCGCGUGAGGGAUGACGGCCCUACGGGUUGUAAACCUCUUUUGUCGGGGAGCAAAUUCCGCCACGUGUGGCGGAGUCGAGAGUACCCGAAGAAAAAUGCAUCGGCUAACUCCGUGCCAGCAGCCGCGGUAAUACGGAGGAUGCGAGCGUUAUCCGGAUUUAUUGGGUUUAAAGGGUGCGUAGGCGGACUGUCAAGUCAGCGGUAAAAUACGGGGGCUCAACCUCCGCCCGCCGUUGAAAACUGACGGUCUUGAGUGGGCGAGAAGUAUGCGGAAUGCGUGGUGUAGCGGUGAAAUGCAUAGAUAUCACGCAGAACUCCGAUUGCGAAGGCAGCAUACCGGCGCCCAAACUGACGCUGAAGCACGAAAGCGUGGGUAUCGAACAGGAUUAGAUACC
RNAcentral lists this ribosomal RNA (437 nucleotides) under uncultured bacterium. RNAcentral's name for it is "bacterial SSU rRNA". It matches the Rfam family "Bacterial small subunit ribosomal RNA", at positions 355 to 786 of the family's 1533-position model. The record is from RNAcentral.